Molecule: ribosomal RNA, 224 nt
Filed under: uncultured Lactobacillus sp.
Lineage: Bacteria; Bacillati; Bacillota; Bacilli; Lactobacillales; Lactobacillaceae
Description: partial 16S ribosomal RNA
Rfam family: Bacterial small subunit ribosomal RNA
Source: RNAcentral
CGGGAUAACAACCUGGAAACAGAUGCUAAUACCGGAUAACAACAGAUGAUGCCUAUCAACUGUUUAAAAGAUGGUUCUGCUAUCACUCUUGGAUGGACCUGCGGUGCAUUAGCUAGUUGGUAGGGUAACGGCCUACCAAGGCGAUGAUGCAUAGCCGAGUUGAGAGACUGAUCGGCCACAUUGGGACUGAGACACGGCCCAAACUCCUACGGGAGGCAGCAGCG